CCUACGGGUGGCAGCAGUAGGGAAUUUUGCGCAAUGGGGGAAACCCUGACGCAGCAACGCCGCGUGAUCGAUGAAGCCCUUCGGGGUGUAAAGCUCUGUCAGUGGGGACGAAACCUGACGGUACCCACAGAGGACGCACCGGCUAACUCCGUGCAAGCAGCCGCGGUAAUACGGGGGGUGCAAGCGUUGUCCGGAAUCAUUGGGCGUAAAGAGUUCGUAGGUGGCACGUUAAGUCUGGUGUUAAAGGCGGGGGCUCAACUUCCGUAGGGCACUGGAUACUGGCGAGCUUGAAUGCGGUAGAGGUAAAGGGAAUUCCUGGUGUAGCGGUGAAAUGCGUAGAUAUCAGGAGGAACAUCGGUGGCGAAGGCGAUUUACUGGGCCAUAAUUGACGCUGAGGAGCGAAAGCCGGGGGAGCAAAUGGGAUUAGAUACCCUAGUAGUC
This 441-nucleotide ribosomal RNA is filed under the name uncultured bacterium. Its description in RNAcentral is "partial 16S ribosomal RNA". It matches the Rfam family "Bacterial small subunit ribosomal RNA", at positions 338 to 795 of the family's 1533-position model. The record is from RNAcentral.